Long non-coding RNA from Lucilia sericata (common green bottle fly), 341 nucleotides. RefSeq lists it as uncharacterized. NCBI's taxonomy places the organism in Eukaryota, Metazoa, Arthropoda, Insecta, Diptera, Calliphoridae. The record is from RefSeq and is a predicted model, not a curated record. The transcript is spliced from 2 exons.
GUAAAUUUUAUGGGAAUUUCAUUUAUUAUUUUGAAAUUUUUGCUAUAAAUACCCUGAAUUUUCACUGCAAAUGUAUUGUUAUAUUUUGGUUACUAAAAAAAAAACAAAGCUUCACCAUGAAUAUCUUUAUUGCUGUUGCCCUCAUGAAUGUAAUUUUGGGAGCCGUGGAUAAUGUAGCUGGUAUAGAUUCUAAAGUUUUGGAGAGUUUACUUGGUUAAAUAAAUUUGAAAUCGAUAAUGAAUUGAUACGGAUUAUAAAACUGAUCUCUUCAGUAAAAAUAUACAUUUAAAUAAAAAUUAUGUAAGCAAUAUAAAUAAAUUGUUUAAUGCUAUAAUAUAAAA